CCUGCGGCAGGGAGCAGCUGCAGGGCUGGGGCCCAUGAAGGGAGUUAUGGGACUGCAGCUGAGCUGAGCUCUGUGCUGGGGCUGUGCUGAGCACUCUGCGUGUUCUGGGGCCUUCCUGCUCGCUCUGCAGGCUGGGGGUGUCGGCUGAUGCUUUGUGCUAGCAGAGGAAGCGAGUGGCAGCCGCUUGGCCCGUCCUUCGAUGAGAUUUCUUCUUUCCUGAAGAAAUGAGAGAAUGGAGAGCCAGAGACCGUGGCAGUGUGUGGCAGAGCACAGCUUUGCGGGACUGAUGUGCACCAGCACCAAGAGGAUGCUGUAGGUGAUGGCCAGCGGGGAGCAGCCAGGGAUGUCUCUGGGUCUCAGUGUCAGCAUGGCCAGAGCCACUUGGUACCCAACUGACUGACCUGCUUCAGUGGAAGAUGGCCAAGUUGCUUAGAAAAAAUAAAAGUUGAAGCAAGCAAAUAUCAGGAGGGACGCAAGCCUUUACCCGCAGGCAGAAGGACGUGGAAGUUUUAUUGUUUUUCCUUUGGUGGUGUCCUUUUACAGUUUGGAUGCACAAUCCCAGCAAAACUUGGCUGGGAUGCAUCCGUGGCCGCUUCCCACCGCCUGCUGCCCUGCUCUGCUCCUGCAUGCAGAACUCGAAUAUGCUGAUGAAUGCAGCGUAAGCAGGAAAAAGGGGAGCACAGCAUGAUCGGAUGCAUUAACGGCUGCCUGCACGAGGCCCCUGUUCGUGUCCUGUGGUGUGUGUGAUAUUUCAUGUGACAGAGCUUUGCGACGCUUCAACUCUGUCCUGUCCGCAAAAUGACAGUCUGAUCAUCAUUGCUUUCUAUAGUUCGGGAAUGGUGGCAAAAGAGAUUUACUUUCCAGCCCCAGAUACUCUGAUCCUCUAAGGCAGCGUCCUACAAACCCAGGUACAGGUUCUUCUGUAUUGGCUGCAAGUGCUGGAACACUUUCUUCAUAGGAAUGAUAGAGAUGUGGAAGGACAAAACCAAAAUAUGCACUGCUGCAGUUUGUACAGCGUAAAAAAAUAAGGGAGCAUAAUCCAAAUAACAACAUCUAGUGCUUUUACAGGGCUCCGUGCAUAUGGCAUAAAUGACAGCUAAUUAAACUUUAUAUCCUGCCUGCAAGAUAAGCGUAUAAUUAGUAUUACAUCCCUUCUGUAAUUAGGAGACCGCAUGCAAAAAGCUGCGCCUGCAGACUGUGCUGGAAGGC
Molecule: long non-coding RNA, 1209 nt
Organism: Gallus gallus (chicken)
Lineage: Eukaryota; Metazoa; Chordata; Aves; Galliformes; Phasianidae
Source: Ensembl